RNAcentral lists this ribosomal RNA (253 nucleotides) under uncultured bacterium. Its description in RNAcentral is "partial 16S ribosomal RNA". It matches the Rfam family "Bacterial small subunit ribosomal RNA", at positions 524 to 776 of the family's 1533-position model. The record is from RNAcentral.
UACGGAGGGGGCUAGCGUUGUUCGGAAUUACUGGGCGUAAAGCGCGUGUAGGCGGCAGACCAAGUCGGCGGUGAAAGCGCCCGGCUCAACGGGGCGAGGUCCGUGGAAACUGGUCAGCUGGAGGACGGUAGAGGCGAGUGGAAUUCCCGGUGUAGUGGUGAAAUGCGUAGAGAUCGGGAGGAACACCUGUGGCGAAGGCGGCUCGCUGGGCCGGUCCUGACGCUGAGACGCGAAGGCGUGGGGAGCGAACGGG